AAUUAGUUGGGAAACUAAGCCAAAGAAGGUGAGAGCCCUGUAAGUGAAACUUCGUUUCCUCCGUUCUGGAUCCUGAGUACGGCGGGACACGUGAAACCCCGUCGGAAUCCGGGAGGACCAUCUCCCAAGGCUAAAUACUCCCUAGUGACCGAUAGUGAACCAGUACCGGGAGGGAAAGGUGAAAAGCACCCCGGGAGGGGAGUGAAAGAGUUCCUGAAACCAUGUGCCUACAAGUAGUCAGAGCCCGUUAAAGGGUGAUGGCGUGCCUUUUGUAGAAUGAACCGGCGAGUUACG
RNAcentral lists this non-coding RNA (294 nucleotides) under Ligilactobacillus equi DPC 6820. RNAcentral's name for it is "Lactobacillus equi DPC 6820 Bacterial large subunit ribosomal RNA". It matches the Rfam family "Bacterial large subunit ribosomal RNA", at positions 336 to 632 of the family's 2925-position model. The record is from Rfam by way of RNAcentral. Lineage: Bacteria; Bacillati; Bacillota; Bacilli; Lactobacillales; Lactobacillaceae.